UACGUAGGGCGCGAGCGUUGUCCGGAAUUAUUGGGCGUAAAGCGUGCGUAGGCGGUUCGUUAAGUCAGCUGUGAAAGCCCCGGGCUCAACCUGGGAACUGCGGUUGAAACUGGCGAACUAGAAUCUGGCAGAGGGGGUGGAAUUCCACGUGUAGCAGUGAAAUGCGUAGAGAUGUGGAGGAACACCGAUGGCGAAGGCAGCCCCCUGGGCUGAGAUUGACGCUCAGGCACGAAAGCGUGGGGAGCAAACAGG
This 252-nucleotide ribosomal RNA is filed under the name uncultured bacterium. RNAcentral's name for it is "partial 16S ribosomal RNA". It matches the Rfam family "Bacterial small subunit ribosomal RNA", at positions 524 to 776 of the family's 1533-position model. The record is from RNAcentral.